This 873-nucleotide ribosomal RNA is filed under the name Shigella sonnei. Its description in RNAcentral is "partial 23S ribosomal RNA". It matches the Rfam family "Bacterial large subunit ribosomal RNA", at positions 313 to 1190 of the family's 2925-position model. Lineage: Bacteria; Pseudomonadati; Pseudomonadota; Gammaproteobacteria; Enterobacterales; Enterobacteriaceae. The record is from RNAcentral.
UGAAUCAGUGUGUGUGUUAGUGGAAGCGUCUGGAAAGGCGCGCGAUACAGGGUGACAGCCCCGUACACAAAAAUGCACAUAUUGUGAGCUCGAUGAGUAGGGCGGGACACGUGGUAUCCUGUCUGAAUAUGGGGGGCCCAUCCUCCAAGGCUAAAUACUCCUGACUGACCGAUAGUGAACCAGUACCGUGAGGGAAAGGCGAAAAGAACCCCGGCGAGGGGAGUGAAAAAGAACCUGAAACCGUGUACGUACAAGCAGUGGGAGCACGCUUAGGCGUGUGACUGCGUACCUUUUGUAUAAUGGGUCAGCGACUUAUAUUCUGUAGCAAGGUUAACCGAAUAGGGGAGCCGAAGGGAAACCGAGUCUUAACUGGGCGUUAAGUUGCAGGGUAUAGACCCGAAACCCGGUGAUCUAGCCAUGGGCAGGUUGAAGGUUGGGUAACACUAACUGGAGGACCGAACCGACUAAUGUUGAAAAAUUAGCGGAUGACUUGUGGCUGGGGGUGAAAGGCCAAUCAAACCGGGAGAUAGCUGGUUCUCCCCGAAAGCUAUUUAGGUAGCGCCUCGUGAAUUCAUCUCCGGGGGUAGAGCACUGUUUCGGCAAGGGGGUCAUCCCGACUUACCAACCCGAUGCAAACUGCGAAUACCGGAGAAUGUUAUCACGGGAGACACACGGCGGGUGCUAACGUCCGUCGUGAAGAGGGAAACAACCCAGACCGCCAGCUAAGGUCCCAAAGUCAUGGUUAAGUGGGAAACGAUGUGGGAAGGCCCAGACAGCCAGGAUGUUGGCUUAGAAGCAGCCAUCAUUUAAAGAAAGCGUAAUAGCUCACUGGUCGAGUCGGCCUGCGCGGAAGAUGUAACGGGGCUAAACCAU